RNAcentral lists this transfer RNA (73 nucleotides) under Loxodonta africana (African savanna elephant). It matches the Rfam family "tRNA". Rfam says of the family: Transfer RNA (tRNA) molecules are approximately 80 nucleotides in length. Their secondary structure includes four short double-helical elements and three loops (D, anti-codon, and T loops). Lineage: Eukaryota; Metazoa; Chordata; Mammalia; Proboscidea; Elephantidae. The record is from Rfam by way of RNAcentral.
CCCUGGGUGGUGUAAACAGUUAAGCACUUGGCUACUAACCAAAAGGUUGGUGGUUUGAAUCCACCCAGAGGCA